This 240-nucleotide small RNA is filed under the name Bos taurus (domestic cattle). The record is from RNAcentral. Lineage: Eukaryota; Metazoa; Chordata; Mammalia; Artiodactyla; Bovidae.
UUAAUUUCAUCUCUGGGCAUUGGGAAUCCUGCUGCAGUGCAUCCUCUUGGGCAUGUGGUUUUCAAAGUCUGUGUAUUUCUGAAGUAUCAUAUGACAGGGCUUCUCCACUCCUAUGAUACUUCAGAAAUACACAGACUUUGAAAACCACAUGCCCAAGAGCAUGCACUGCAGCAGGAUUCCCAAUGCCCAGAGAUGAAAUUAAAGGAAGUACACAGGGACAGAGAGAUGAACAGAUAAAGG